GCUUGUGAUGAUUUAAUCCAUCUAGUUUGAGGUGUAGUGGAACUAAGCCCAUGUUUACAUGGAGAACCUACUUGGGGAAGCUACGUUCAUAUGACAUCAUUGGAUUAUUCUGAGGC
Lupinus angustifolius (narrow-leaved blue lupine) is the source of this 116-nucleotide small nucleolar RNA. It matches the Rfam family "Small nucleolar RNA Z278". Rfam says of the family: snoZ278 is a C/D box small nucleolar RNA. Its methylation guide targets have not been reported. NCBI's taxonomy places the organism in Eukaryota, Viridiplantae, Streptophyta, Magnoliopsida, Fabales, Fabaceae. The record is from Rfam.